AACGAACGCUGGCGGCAUGCCUAACACAUGCAAGUCGAACGAGACCUUCGGGUCUAGUAGCGCACGGGUGCGUAACGCGUGGGAAUCUGCCCUUGGGUUCGGAAUAACAGUUGGAAACGACUGCUAAUACCGGAUGAUGACGUAAGUCCAAAGAUUUAUCGCCCAGGGAUGAGCCCGCGUAGGAUUAGCUAGUUGGUGGGGUAAAGGCCUACCAAGGCGACGAUCCUUAGCUGGUCUGAGAGGAUGAUCAGCCACACUGGGACUGAGACACGGCCCAGACUCCUACGGGAGGCAGCAGUGGGGAAUAUUGGACAAUGGGCGAAAGCCUGAUCCAGCAAUGCCGCGUGAGUGAUGAAGGCCUUAGGGUUGUAAAGCUCUUUUACCCGGGAUGAUAAUGACAGUACCGGGAGAAUAAGCCCCGGCUAACUCCGUG
This 433-nucleotide ribosomal RNA is filed under the name uncultured bacterium. RNAcentral describes it as "partial 16S ribosomal RNA". It matches the Rfam family "Bacterial small subunit ribosomal RNA", at positions 29 to 507 of the family's 1533-position model. The record is from RNAcentral.